RNAcentral lists this ribosomal RNA (567 nucleotides) under uncultured bacterium. RNAcentral describes it as "bacterial SSU rRNA". It matches the Rfam family "Bacterial small subunit ribosomal RNA", at positions 945 to 1533 of the family's 1533-position model. The record is from RNAcentral.
UUUAAUUCGAAGCAACGCGCAGAACCUUACCAACCCUUGACAUCCUGUGCUACAUCCAGAGAUGGAUGGUUCCCUUCGGGGACGCAGUGACAGGUGCUGCAUGGCUGUCGUCAGCUCGUGUCGUGAGAUGUUCGGUUAAGUCCGGCAACGAGCGCAACCCACAUCCCUAGUUGCCAGCAGUUCGGCUGGGCACUCUAUGGAAACUGCCCGUGAUAAGCGGGAGGAAGGUGUGGAUGACGUCAAGUCCUCAUGGCCCUUACGGGUUGGGCUACACACGUGCUACAAUGGUAGUGACAAUGGGUUAAUCCCAAAAAGCUAUCUCAGUUCGGAUUGUCGUCUGCAACUCGACGGCAUGAAGUCGGAAUCGCUAGUAAUCGCGUAACAGCAUGACGCGGUGAAUACGUUCCCGGGCCUUGUACACACCGCCCGUCACACCAUGGGAGUUGGUUUACCCGACGGCCGUGCGCUAACCUUUUGGAGGCAGCGGACCACGGUAGGAUCAGCGACUGGGGUGAAGUCGUAACAAGGUAGCCAAGGCGAAUCCGCACACUGCGCCGUAUAGUGAUC